This 400-nucleotide ribosomal RNA is filed under the name uncultured Bacillus sp. RNAcentral's name for it is "bacterial SSU rRNA". It matches the Rfam family "Bacterial small subunit ribosomal RNA", at positions 983 to 1382 of the family's 1533-position model. The record is from RNAcentral. Lineage: Bacteria; Bacillati; Bacillota; Bacilli; Caryophanales; Bacillaceae.
GACAUGCAGAGAACUUUCCAGAGAUGGAUUGGUGCCUUCGGGAACUCUGACACAGGUGCUGCAUGGCUGUCGUCAGCUCGUGUCGUGAGAUGUUGGGUUAAGUCCCGUAACGAGCGCAACCCUUGUCCUUAGUUACCAGCACGUUAUGGUGGGCACUCUAAGGAGACUGCCGGUGACAAACCGGAGGAAGGUGGGGAUGACGUCAAGUCAUCAUGGCCUUUAUGACCAGGGCUACACACGUACUACAAUGGCCGAUACAAAGGGCAGCGACACUGCGAGGUGAAGCCAAUCCCGUAAAAUCGGUCUCAGUCCGGAUUGGAGUCUGCAACUCGACUCCAUGAAGUUGGAAUCGCUAGUAAUCGUGGAUCAGCAUGCCACGGUGAAUACGUUCCCGGGCCUU